AUGGAGUUGCGGUUUGCUUUCAUGGUGCACAUUAGAAGGGACCGGUACAUGUUCGAUGCAAAGGAUAAGAAGAAAUACCAAGGAGGUUUUGAUUAUCGGUUGCCAAUGGCUAGUAAUUGGAGUUUAAGACAAUUUGGGGAGGUAAUUUGUAGCCAAUAUCCUUGGGGUUUGCUUGAUGAAGUGGUAUACAAAUACUAUGAUGGGGAAAAGAAUUGGGUGACAGUUAGUAAUGAUGAAGAGCUAGCUACCAUGUUUGUUAGGCAUAAAGAGAAAGAUAAUUUUCAUGUGAGGCUGCAAGUUGAUGUGCUUGAGCAGGCAUUUGGACCUAGGAUGGCGGGUGCAACAUCUCGGGGAGAAUCAAGUCGUCGUAAUGGCAUCUCUAGCCAGAACAAUUCAGUUGGUGCACGGCGACGUGGUGGCUCGACAAGUGUGGGCAACAGCAGUAGGGUCUCCCUUGAAGUGGAGCCUGAUGGCUACAAUUCUGGGGUUGAUGAAGAGAAGUUAUAUUCUGAUGUUAUUCAGAAUUUAUGA
Molecule: ribosomal RNA, 531 nt
Filed under: Triticum aestivum (bread wheat)
Lineage: Eukaryota; Viridiplantae; Streptophyta; Magnoliopsida; Poales; Poaceae
Description: partial small subunit ribosomal RNA
Source: RNAcentral